This 383-nucleotide ribosomal RNA is filed under the name uncultured bacterium. RNAcentral's name for it is "bacterial SSU rRNA". It matches the Rfam family "Bacterial small subunit ribosomal RNA", at positions 28 to 415 of the family's 1533-position model. The record is from RNAcentral.
GACGAACGCUGGCGGCGUGCUUAACACAUGCAAGUCGACGGGGGCUCGGCAACGAGCAACCGGCGAACGGGUGCGUAACACGUGAGCAACCUGCCUUUGUGGUGGGGGAUAGCCGGGCUAACGCCCGGGUAAUACCGCAUACGGUUCUCGGAGGGGAGUCCCUUAGGGAAAGAAACCGUCCGGGGCACAGAGAGGGGCUCGCGGCCUAUCAGCUUGUUGGCGGGGUAAUGGCCCACCAAGGCGACGACGGGUAGCNGGUCUGAGAGGAUGGCCAGCCACAUUGGGACUGAGAGACGGCCCAGACUCCUACGGGAGGCAGCAGUGGGGAAUCUUGCGCAAUGGCCGAAAGGCUGACGCAGCGACGCCGCGUGUGGGAGGACGCC